GGAUGCGAUCAUACCAGCACUAAUGCACCGGAUCCCAUCAGAACUCCGAAGUAAGCGUGCUUGGGCGAGAGUAUACUAGAUGGGUGACCCCGGGGAAGAUCCUCGUGUUGCAUCCC
This 116-nucleotide ribosomal RNA is filed under the name Ipomoea nil (Japanese morning glory). Lineage: Eukaryota; Viridiplantae; Streptophyta; Magnoliopsida; Solanales; Convolvulaceae. The record is from RNAcentral.